This 492-nucleotide ribosomal RNA is filed under the name uncultured bacterium. Its description in RNAcentral is "partial 16S ribosomal RNA". It matches the Rfam family "Bacterial small subunit ribosomal RNA", at positions 29 to 507 of the family's 1533-position model. The record is from RNAcentral.
AGUGAACGCUGGCGGUAGGCCUAACACAUGCAGGUCGAACGGCAGCACAGUAAGAGCUUGCUCUUACGGGUGGCGAGUGGCGGACGGGUGAGGAAUACAUCGGAAUCUACUUUUUCGUGGGGGAUAACGUAGGGAAACUUACGCUAAUGCCGCAUACGACCUACGGGUGAAAGCAGGGGAUCUUCGGAACUUGCGCGAUUGAAUGAGCCGAUGUCGGAUUAGCUAGUUGGCGGGGUAAAGGCCCACCAAGGCGACGAUCCGUAGCUGGUCUGAGAGGAUGAUCAGCCACACUGGAACUGAGACACGGUCCAGACUCCUACGGGAGGCAGCAGUGGGGAAUAUUGGACAAUGGGCGCAAGCCUGAUCCAGCCAUACCGCGUGGGUGAAGAAGGCCUUCGGGUUGUAAAGCCCUUUUGUUGGGAAAGAAAAGCAGCAGGUUAAUACCCCGCUGUUCUGACGGUACCCAAAGAAUAAGCACCGGCUAACUUCGUG